RNAcentral lists this non-coding RNA (22 nucleotides) under Arabidopsis thaliana (thale cress). Lineage: Eukaryota; Viridiplantae; Streptophyta; Magnoliopsida; Brassicales; Brassicaceae. The record is from RNAcentral.
UUGAGGCGGCACUCAGUCUUGU